This 85-nucleotide transfer RNA is filed under the name Thermoprotei archaeon. RNAcentral's name for it is "tRNA-Ser". It matches the Rfam family "tRNA". From Rfam's summary of the family: Transfer RNA (tRNA) molecules are approximately 80 nucleotides in length. Lineage: Archaea; Thermoproteati; Thermoproteota; Thermoprotei. The record is from RNAcentral.
GCCGGGGUGCCCGAAUCAGGUAAGGGGCCAGGCUCGAGACCUGGUGACCUUUAUGGUCUUGUGGGUUCAAAUCCCACCCCCGGCG